RNAcentral lists this ribosomal RNA (433 nucleotides) under uncultured bacterium. Its description in RNAcentral is "partial 16S ribosomal RNA". It matches the Rfam family "Bacterial small subunit ribosomal RNA", at positions 29 to 507 of the family's 1533-position model. The record is from RNAcentral.
AACGAACGCUGGCGGCAUGCCUAACACAUGCAAGUCGAACGAGACCUUCGGGUCUAGUGGCGCACGGGUGCGUAACGCGUGGGAACCUGCCCUUAGGUUCGGAAUAACUCCCCGAAAGGGGUGCUAAUACCGGAUAAUGUCUUCGGACCAAAGAUUUAUCGCCUUUGGAUGGGCCCGCGUUGGAUUAGCUAGUUGGUAGGGUAAAAGCCUACCAAGGCGACGAUCCAUAGCUGGUCUGAGAGGAUGAUCAGCCACACUGGGACUGAGACACGGCCCAGACUCCUACGGGAGGCGGCAGUGGGUAAUAUUGGACAAUGGGCGAAAGCCUGAUCCAGCAAUGCCGCGUGAGUGAUGAAGGCCUUAGGGUUGUAAAGCUCUUUUACCCGGGAUGAUAAUGACAGUACCGGGAGAAUAAGCUCCGGCUAACUCCGUG